AUGCACAAGCUCGCAUCGCCCUGGCGCCGAUCUCGCGCGGCUCCUGCGCCUCGCCACCCUCUUCUCCCCAGCUCAGCAGGAGGUUUGCGAGGCCACCACUUGGGCCGCUGCUGCCUCUUCCACCCAGCAGGAGGAGCACGAGCUUCUGCGAGGACCAGAUGCAAGGUAUGUCUCUGUCAUUGGAGCUUGGAGAAGUGCAGCCUGGGGUUAUUAAGAAGAGGGUCAGUAUUGCCCAGAACCGCAAGGAAAGUCUAA
RNAcentral lists this ribosomal RNA (255 nucleotides) under Triticum aestivum (bread wheat). RNAcentral's name for it is "partial small subunit ribosomal RNA". The record is from RNAcentral. Lineage: Eukaryota; Viridiplantae; Streptophyta; Magnoliopsida; Poales; Poaceae.